UGGAGAUUCAGACCCGGCGUGGACGCAGGAGCACUGCAAAUAGCUGGCCAUUUGGUGUUGGGUCAGAUUAGAGGCAAGAAGUCAGGGGCCCCAAGACAGUGUGUGACUUCCUAGGAGAUCAUCUCUGAGAGCAAGUAAGUCAGCACCAGAAAUGGCAGGGACCAGUCAGUCCAACUGGGAGGGACUUACCCAGCACCUUGGAUGUAAAAGCACUCGGCCAGGUGACUGGGAUGGCAGGACGUUCUUCCAUACUGAAAGACGUUCAGCACAGAAGUGUGUGACAACAGGAGACUUGAAAUUCCACAAAAGAUUGUCUGAAGUUUGGCUGGCCUGGCUAAAGUGUCUGAAGCGAUACAAAUGAAAUCAUGACUUUCCCUGUCUUCACCAAGGACAAAGGGUAUUGCUAAGUUGCCAAGACUGACGUUGAACUUGCCUCAGCCUCCUGCAUUGUUAGUAUUACAAGCAUACACCACCACACCCAGGUAAAUUUUCUUAAUGAUGACUUUUGAAAAGAAAAAAAAAAUGUUACUCUUUGUAGUUUGACUCCAUUUAAGACAACUUUGCCUCCCUCAAGGUUAUAAAGAUUUUCUCCCAUGUUCUAAUUACAAAUUUUGGCUUUUUUUUUUUUUGGUCAUUUAGGGUACAAUACAUUUCUCAUUUCUGUGAUGGUUUGAGGUAAGGAUUAAUGAGCUUUUUUUUUCCUACAUAGAUAUCCAGUUGUUCCAGCUCUGUUUGUGAAAAGUACUGUCCCUUUCCCAUUAAAUCGCCUAUUUCCCAUUGAAUUGCCUAUUUGUAGAAAAUGAAAUGACCAUAUAUAAAUAGGGUUAGUUCUGGAUUUAUUGUUUUGUUCCAUUGAUCUUUAUGCUGAUUCUUUCAUCAAUUAUCUUAAUUAUUGAAGCUUUAUAGUACAUCUUGAAAUCCGAUUGUUUCCUCCAGCUUUCUAGUUUUAAAAAUGACUUUUAUAUUUUUAAGUUUGCAGGAAUUUCCAUUUCCAUUUUAGGACGAGUCUCUCAAUUUCAACAAAAAUGCCCUGCAGGAGAUUGAGAUCGCAUUGACUCUAUAUGUCAAUUUGGGGAGGACUGAGAAUAUUGAGUUUUCAAUACUUGAACAUGUUACGUUUUCCCAUUUACUCAGGUCUUCUUCAAUUUCUCUCAGCAAUGUUUUAUUAUUUUUAGUGAAUGAGUCUUUCAUGUUUUUGAAUA
Long non-coding RNA from Marmota monax (woodchuck), 1202 nucleotides. RefSeq lists it as uncharacterized. Lineage: Eukaryota; Metazoa; Chordata; Mammalia; Rodentia; Sciuridae. The record is from RefSeq and is a predicted model, not a curated record. The transcript has 3 exons.